RNAcentral lists this ribosomal RNA (287 nucleotides) under uncultured bacterium. RNAcentral's name for it is "partial 16S ribosomal RNA". It matches the Rfam family "Bacterial small subunit ribosomal RNA", at positions 508 to 793 of the family's 1533-position model. The record is from RNAcentral.
CCAGCAGCCGCGGUAAUACGGAGGGUGCGAGCGUUAAUCGGAAUUACUGGGCGUAAAGCGCAUGCAGGUGGUUUGUUAAGUCAGAUGUGAAAGCCCCGGGGCUCAAACCUCGGAACUGCAUUUGAAACUGGCAGACUAGAGUACUGUAGAGGGGGUAGAAUUUCAGGUGUAGCGGUGAAAUGCGUAGAGAUCUGAAGGAAUACCGGUGGCGAAGGCGGCCCCCUGGACAGAUACUGACACUCAGAUGCGAAAGCGUGGGGAGCAAACAGGAUUAGAUACCCUGGUAG